UUGAAAUUCAAACAAACCUGCAAAAGUGUGUCAGUCGCGUCCCAGGCGCUCCGGAGACGUCUCCGCUUGAACUUGAGACGUCUCGGCUGUAUAAAAUUUCUUUUGACGUUGUUUGGAGUCGACUCGGCGCUUUACGGGGACGUCUCUGAAGAAGAGCAGCUUGAAUGCUUGUUUUUCUGUUUUUCUGAGAGAGUCGGCUCGGU
Molecule: long non-coding RNA, 203 nt
Filed under: Phoenix dactylifera (date palm)
Lineage: Eukaryota; Viridiplantae; Streptophyta; Magnoliopsida; Arecales; Arecaceae
Description: long non-coding RNA (PDAC_LNC018617)
Source: RNAcentral